Molecule: transfer RNA, 66 nt
Filed under: Aptinothrips stylifer
Lineage: Eukaryota; Metazoa; Arthropoda; Insecta; Thysanoptera; Thripidae
Description: tRNA-Lys
Source: RNAcentral
CUUAAAGUAAGUUAAUACAAAACUUUUGAAUUUUUACUUCAAAUAUACUCAAGAAAGUCUUUAAGA